This 3394-nucleotide long non-coding RNA is filed under the name Paramuricea clavata. Lineage: Eukaryota; Metazoa; Cnidaria; Anthozoa; Malacalcyonacea; Plexauridae. The record is from RNAcentral.
AGAACACGAUAAAAGUUUUCUCCACUGUAAUGGAGAAAGAGCCUCGAGGUAGUCCGGCGUCAAAAAGUGCCCAAGUUCAGAUUUUUGUUUGUAAAGCAGAAGAAAUGCGUCUAAUGGAAAAGGUAAACGAGGCCAAAAUCUACCUAACUAAAGCUCGGGAACUCAAUAGCGAACUGAAGGAUCAAAGUAAGGAAGCUGGAAUUUUGGAGAUCCUAGGUUUCUGUUACGAAGAAACUGGUGAGUACGAAAAAGCUAUAAAAACGGCCAAAGAAGCCAUAGCUAUAUUUCAGCAGCUUCCAGGACCGACAGGACUAAUAGGCCAUGGUAACGGUCUUGUUUUUAUUGGAAGUAUAUGUAGUAAACUUGGGAAAUAUGAAGAAGCCAUCGCACGUCAAGAGGAGGGUAUUGAGAUAUUGUUAAGGUCAGGUAAUGAAGUUCUUUUAGGAAUCGCCUAUGGCAAUAUGGGAGAAACAAAAAAUCGAAUAAAAGAACACGGAAAAGCCAUAGAGUUAUGUUCGGAAGGUUUAAGAAUAAGUCGGAAGACAGGCAACAAACUCGAGGAAGCAAGACAUCUUCAUAACAUAGGAGAUGCAUAUCACCAGAUGAAAGAGUUUAAGAAAUCUAUUAAAUACUGUGAAGAAAGCCUAAGAAUUUUUAGAGAUAUUGGCAACAAGAAAGGAGCGUCCAUUUCUCAAGGAGUUCUAGCAAGCAGCUACAAUCGCUUAGGGAAAACACAUAUUUCUGAAGCUUAUUUCAAACGCUGCAUCGAAAUUAAUCAAGGUAUGAUGCAAUUUUCAGAUUUAGCAAUUGUACAUGGAAAUAUGGGUAUACAACACUACGAAAUCGCUUUUUUGGAGUUUCUCAGUUUCCAUGAUGCUAAAAUAUCGCUCGAAAGUUGUAUAGAAUCCUUCAAACUGGCUAUAGAGUCAACUGAUAAAGUUUUGGCCAGUUUAUCAGAAGACAAUAACAAGACUGCUUUUUCAGAUAAAUUUUAUCGUUGGUACAACAGCCUUGUGAGUCCUUUCAUUCUGUUAGGAAGGUGUACAGCAGCACUAUUAUUUCUUGAUUUGGGAAGAGCAAAAAUAUUAAGACACCUUGUUUACAAGCAAGUGCAAGAAGACGAUAACAGUAAAUCGAGUUUUGAAUCAUCAUGGUUGACCAUUGAGGAUGGGAAAGAGAAGGAACGAAUUUUCAUCCUAACUAGAGAAAUACAACUAUUGGAGUCUGAUGCUACCAUUCUGUUCUAUAAUUUCAACGACGAAGAAAUAUUUACGAUUUGGAUAUUACACGCAGAUGGAUGUGUCUCUUUAAAAACGUCAGAUCCUACUUCCAAAACCAAAACUUCUCGUCAAGAAUUGGAGGAAAACAUCAAGAAAGUGCUGGAGAAGGCAUCCGGCCGAUUCCCGCGGGGGUACUCCUUUUUCAAACAGUCAACCGUCAGCGAUUUUAAAGAUCCGAAUGCCAAACCAUUAACUUCUAGUCGACCUGAGAAUGAAGAAAAUGCAGCGGGAGCAACAAGUCACGAGCAGAAGAAAGUCAAAGUUAUAGAGAGCACAGACAAGUACAGAGCACCUGCUAAAAGAACUGACGAAUCAUGUGAUGAUUUGACGAAAGGUACACGUUCACUUUUGUACAGAGCCUUGAUUAAACCAGUGAAGAGUUUAAUAAGAGGAACUAAGCUCAUUAUUGUUCCACAAAGCUGCAUCUUUUUCGCGCCUUUUUCAUCCUUUAUUGAUGAAAAUGACUGUCUCUUAUCGGAGCAAUACCAGAUUCAAAUAAUUCCUUCAGUUCACGUUCUCGCGAUAAGCAUGCAAGCAUCUACAAGCAAGCAAAUUGGAUCUUCUUUGUUUGUCGGAAACCCAGAAGUUCAAAAUGUUCUGCUUCUACCCCUACCGUCAGCGGAAGAAGAAGUAAAAUACCUUGCAUCGCUACUGGAUGCAAAACCACUCACCGGCCGAAUGGCAACAAAGAGCAAAUUGAUGAAUGCGAUGUCUAAUGCUUCCAUCAUUCAUAUUGCCGCCCAUGGUCAAGAACAGACUGGUCACAUUUUCCUGGCUCCUGAAUCAAGCAAAUCAAAUGAAGGCGCUCACCAAGCGUCAUCGUCGGACCUCCUCACGCAAAGGGAUGUUCUAAAGUGCAAGCUGUUAGCUCGGCUAGUCGUUCUCUCGUGUUGCCACACUGGAAUGGGGAAGUUAUCUUCCGAAGGCGUUUUAGGCAUUGCCAGAGCAUUCCUUGGAGCUGGCGCUAAUUCGGUAUUGGUUACACUAUGGAGUAUUGAUGACAAAUUUACAAAGAAGUUUAUGAUAGCUUUCUACGAAAAAGUUUGCGACGAAAAAUCGGUUUGCCUUGCAUUGAAAGAAACCAUGAAUCAGUUUCAAAGAGGUGGACAAUAUACUUCGUACUUGUUCUGGGCUGCUUUUGAAAUCCUUGGUGAAGAUGUAAGUUUCACUAGAGGCGAAAUCGAAGAAAUUCGAAGAAAGAACAGAGAUAUACAGUAAUCACAAGCAAUUAAAUUUGAAACUAAGAAUAGAUUAGUUAUCGACACCGUGGUAACUAUAGCUUUUUCUCGAAGAACAGUUGCUACGAAAACAGGCUCAAUCACGAACUAAAUAUAGGAUAAAGCUCAAGUACGGGGCUUCAAGAAACGGGUACAUUAUCCAUUUUGAUGUACUGUAUUUUCCACUGUUGGGAACAUAUGCAACUCAUUCCAUCGUUUUCAAAGGAGGAUAAGAAGUUUUAAUUUCCUUAAGGUCCAGUCAAUUAAAAGACGAAUAAUUAUAUUCCUAAGUUGUCCGACUCAGACAUUUGUGAAGGUAGACCAAAAUUUCUCCGUACUUGCGUGGCAAUGACAAACGGAUACAAAAUUUUAAAAAAUUCAAUUCAUAUACUGGAUUACAUUUAAACCGUAAUCUUUCAACUGAGAUUGUGGUCGAGAAAAACCAAGACUGCAGUAUCUUCGGAGUGGUCAUACUCAACUUGAGUAAACAUAGUAAACAAUAACUUAGUAAACUUGCUCUAAAUAAAAGAAGUUAAAUAAGAAUAAAGAAGCGUUCUAAACAAUAGAAAAUCUAUUGAAUAUAAAAUAAUCAUGCGAAACGCUUAAAGUAGUAUAGUUUUCUGCUGAGUUGUUGCUGUCAUUAGUUUAUAAAGUACUGUAUACUGUAUACAUUAGGGAACAGAUUGGAAGUUAGAGGAUAGAAGGGACAGAAGGGAAAAGGACAACCUCGUAGUUAAUAAAUUAGAAAAGAGUUUAUGUAGCAACAAAGGAACAAUAUAUUUUUGUGUGACUUUUAUAUUUCGUUUACGUUAAAGUAUAUAGAGUAAAAUAAGUGGAUUUGUUACACAACCCUCGGUGUAACCUAUAUUAAAGCAGGUGAUAUGUAUUAUGAUUAUG